Mytilus californianus (California mussel) is the source of this 708-nucleotide long non-coding RNA. RefSeq lists it as uncharacterized. The transcript is spliced from 3 exons. Lineage: Eukaryota; Metazoa; Mollusca; Bivalvia; Mytilida; Mytilidae. The record is from RefSeq and is a predicted model, not a curated record.
ACUAACUCAGUUCGAAAGUACAACUGUACAAUAAUAGCAAUGCAUUUUUCACGGAAAUUCCGAAAUCCAACGAUAAAUUGAUGGACAGAGUGAAAAAUUUAGAAUAAUUUGGGUAUAGGAUACACGAUUCAUACAAGAAUGCACCGGGAUGAGAUGGCACGAGUACCUCUGCAUAAAUACAGGUCAAAACAUAAACUGGUAAUUUUGUUCACUAUUGUAAAUCCGGUUGCUGGGUUCCUGCUAUGGUACUUAAGACGUCGACUAUUGCGAAAAUGCUCAAAUAGAACUGAAUUAUUGAGAGUAGAGAGACAAAUGUCAACUUUAAGCUUUUUCGGAACGAUAACUACAUUUUUUAUGGUGACUCUGAUGUGUCUCUGCCUGGCUAUAUCUGUAAGAACAGAUCACAAAAGGCGCGUACAACAUCAACAGCAGCCAUCAUUUACUCCAAACGAAAUGCUGAAUCAGAUUUAUAGAUCACAAUUAGAUAAUUUAGAUGCUCCAAAUUUAAGCAGUAAAAUCGAAAAUGCUCCACGGGAAUCGGAAGCCGAUGGUGAAGUACAUCAUAUAUUAAAAGGAAAGACAUGCGGAAUUAAUAUUACUAGUGUGUUAGACCGUUGGUGUGAAUUCAGACACAACACAUCUACCUUUUCGAUUCCAUAGACCUGAUUUGUUUCUAAUUGAUUGUAACAAUAAAGGUAUUUUAUGGGA